GCAAAACUAAAAGAUUUGAUCUUUAGAUGGGCUAUGCCUAUGGGUCUAGACUCUAGACGAGGGGAGGAGGCAACGUCGUUACGCCGGAGUACUACCAAAGAAUCUGUUCUUUGUUCCCUGGGACACUUUUCUCUCAUCAUCCGGUGCUGGAGUAAAAUGGCAAUUUAUCAGGCCCCUAAAAAUAGCAGUUUCUGCGAUCGAUGGUACUAUUGGAGUGGGGAUCCGGCAUAGCAUAAGGAUCACAUUUUAGAUCCCUUGAUUAAGGUCCAUGUGUCAACAACUAUUCAUGAUGACCUCUCUCUUGGUUAGGAUCCAUGUUUCAAUUAUUAUGACUCACAUCAUGAAUAUGAAUGAAAUUAUAUGUUUUUUUUUCA
Triticum dicoccoides is the source of this 374-nucleotide long non-coding RNA. RefSeq lists it as uncharacterized. NCBI's taxonomy places the organism in Eukaryota, Viridiplantae, Streptophyta, Magnoliopsida, Poales, Poaceae. The transcript has 2 exons. The record is from RefSeq and is a predicted model, not a curated record.